GGUCUAGCCUGCCCAGUGAUAUUUUUAACGGCCGCGGUACUCUGACCGUGCGAAGGUAGCAUAAUCACUUGUUCUUUAAAUGAGGACUAGUAUCAACGGCAUCACGAGGAUUUUACUGUCUCCUUUUUCCUAUCGGUGAAACUGAUCUCCCCGUGAAGAAGCGGGGAUAUUUCUAUAAGACGAGAAGACCCCAUGGAGCUUUAAACCCAGAGACACCUCAAACCCUCCCUCCCAUAAAAGUUUUUAUGUGCUGUCCUCUGGUUUUAGGUUGGGGUGACCGCGGAGUAUAACUUAACCUCCACAACGCACGGAACUUCUUCCUUAUCUGAGAGUGACAUCUCAAAGAAUUAAUACAUUAACGUAAAAUGAUCCAAUAACUUUUAUUUUGAUUAACGAACCAAGUUACCCUGGGGAUAACAGCGCAAUCCAUUUCCAGAGCCCCUAUCGACA
This 450-nucleotide ribosomal RNA is filed under the name Fejervarya sp. MSAH-2015. Its description in RNAcentral is "partial 16S ribosomal RNA". It matches the Rfam family "Bacterial large subunit ribosomal RNA", at positions 1851 to 2510 of the family's 2925-position model. Lineage: Eukaryota; Metazoa; Chordata; Amphibia; Anura; Dicroglossidae. The record is from RNAcentral.